Molecule: ribosomal RNA, 504 nt
Filed under: uncultured bacterium
Lineage: Bacteria
Description: partial 16S ribosomal RNA
Rfam family: Bacterial small subunit ribosomal RNA
Source: RNAcentral
AUUGAACGCUGGCGGCAGGCCUAACACAUGCAAGUCGAACGGUAGCACAGAGAGCUUGCUCUCGGGUGACGAGUGGCGGACGGGUGAGUAAUGUCUGGGAAACUGCCCGAUGGAGGGGGAUAACUACUGGAAACGGUAGCUAAUACCGCAUAACGUCGCAAGACCAAAGUGGGGGACCUUCGGGCCUCACACCAUCGGAUGUGCCCAGAUGGGAUUAGCUAGUAGGUGGGGUAAUGGCUCACCUAGGCGACGAUCCCUAGCUGGUCUGAGAGGAUGACCAGCCACGCUGGAACUGAGACACGAUCCAGACUCCUACGGGAGGCAGCAGUGGGGAAUAUUGCACAAUGGGCGCAAGCCUGAUGCAGCCAUGCCGCGUGUAUGAAGAAGGCCUUCGGGUUGUAAAGUACUUUCAGCGGGGAGGAAGGCGGUGAAGUUAAUAACUUCACCGAUUGACGUUACCCGCAGAAGAAGCACCGGCUAACUCCGUGCCAGCCGCCGCUGUAA